GCCUCCGGUCUGCUGAAGCGGGGCACUCCCAGGCGCAGGAGGGAGUUCUAGGUGUUUUGCGGUUGUGAUAGGCCCUGGUGCGGCUUGGUAGGCGUUCUGUCCGCCGUGCGCAGCAAGACACCAAUACAAGCGGUUGGAGUUGUUCUCGAAGGAUUCCCGCACCUUUCGCGGGAUUUUGUUCCGCUGCCACCGUAUUCUGUAUCACAUGAUUACCGCUAUGCGGCGCCACCCGACUUGCGCGGCCGAGCGCUUCGUAUAGAUGCUCCUGUAUCCAUACCGUAUAAUGAACCUACACACGCACCCUCCAAGGUGCAGCGCAGAAAGAUUUAGCCAUUCUUUUUGGUAAGAUUGAUGCCGCCACCGGUGCAGCCGCAUGAGUGCGAGAGGAAACCCUGUGACUCACCAGCAGGGUCAUCACACCCGCGACGGCGGCGGCGAUGCGGCGGCCGCUGCUGCUACUCUCCCCCGCUGGCCGUUUCUCGCGCUCAGCAACUCAUUGGUGGCAUCAUCGUCGGCGACAACGGUCUCGCUCAUGGCAACCUCGCAGGCGGCGAAGCCGCCAACACCAUCGAUGGCAACAAUGGUGGAAGCGACAGUACGAAUCAAGCACUUCCGGCGGAUAGCCCACAAAACCUCUACGCACCGAACAAUCUGCGUCGGCCUCUACAACCGCUGGAUCGCCUCGUCGACCCUGUCGUCCGGUUCUUGCGGGUGAACAACCUCUACGCAUCCCACAGCGUCUUCCGCGACCUGCCGCACCCGAGAAUGGCGCCACACGUGCACGGCCAGAGAGCGCAUCGCAUACGAAAGUUGAUCGGCUAAUUCACGUUCCUCUCCCAGAACUCGGCAACGCAGGUGACCCAAGUGCGACUGCGGCUGCCACUUUCGAAAAAAAAAAGCAGGCGUGAUGGCUGGAUGCACCGCAGCCGGCGCGGAAGGCGCGCUUCCUCCCUUCGCCACACAGACAAAAUGGGGCACAUCUUCUUCAAGCACCAGACGGCGCCGGUAGCGCAAUGCAGGCAUGCGCGGGCUGCAGAAAAGUGUUCCGCGCUGUUGCCGACAGCACGGACGCUGCCGAGCGCACCGCGUGCGAAACCGCUUUGCGUGUCGGGACGUUUUUUGUGCGAGGGAGGCUCUCUUCUCCGCCAGUUUGGAGGUGGCUCGAUGGCGACAUGGACGACAGCGGCGGCUGUGUCGCUCCCGGUACGCCUGGUUGACCGACUGUCAUUGUGACCUGAGGAAAGUUGCAGCUCGUGGAUGACCGUGUGCAGCGAGUGCACCGGCGCCGGCAACCGUGUGUGCAUUCCUUCACCUCCCAGCUGACAAUCGUACACCAUAUCAUACCAGACCGUGAGUCCGAGAAGUUUUUUUUUUUGAUGCACCACCAGGGCGUGUGCUGGUGGGAGAGGGCGGUGCGUUGCAGGAGAUGGCCGCCCCGCGGUACACAAACUUGUGAGCUGGAGAAGCGAGACGGCCACCGCCGAAGCUCUACGGGCAUGUGCGCGCACGGCUGUCGGUCUCUCUCUUUGAUACCUUGGCGAGCCUCCUUCACGGCACUAGUGCGGUGGCCCCGCCCUUGUCCGCUUCGCUGACUCCACGCCUUUGCGCAUGUCGUGUUCCUCUUCUCAUGUGCAUCCAGGCCCCAGCAAGUCGAGAGUCUCCCCACCCCCACCCCCUACUCGACAAGAUACAGUGGGAAUGUCGAGCAGUGCGCGCAUGGUGCGCAGCGCAGAAAAUUAGGCUGCUCAUCUGCGUGCCUUUGUG
Molecule: unclassified non-coding RNA, 1764 nt
Filed under: Leishmania donovani
Lineage: Eukaryota; Euglenozoa; Kinetoplastea; Trypanosomatida; Trypanosomatidae
Description: gene:LdHU3.28.1580(CDS-product:hypothetical_prote in)
Source: RNAcentral